Long non-coding RNA from Bombus pascuorum, 9287 nucleotides. RefSeq lists it as uncharacterized. Lineage: Eukaryota; Metazoa; Arthropoda; Insecta; Hymenoptera; Apidae. The record is from RefSeq and is a predicted model, not a curated record. The transcript has 5 exons.
UUUGUAAUCUGAACGGUCUGUAAUUGUGUGAGAAUAGAAGUAGAGAAUAGUAGAAGAAAAUACACCCUAAGAAUACAAAUCGUCUCUGAUGUCAGAUAGACAAAAUACAACUACAAACGGAUAUAAAAUAAAAAUAAAAAAAUUUGUUUGUUGAAUUUCGAUAUAAAUACGAAUCGAUAAAGAUUAUGUUAUCGCCCGAUUUAGGAGAUCUACAUCUGCUCUACAUCUUAUUUGAUAUCUCUGAUAAUAUCUCAGAUAAAGAUUUAACGAUUCUUAGUAAUUCGCUCGGGUAUAAAUACGUAUAUGAUUUUCAUGGUAUCAGUAUCAAAUCUGAAAUAACAUAUUGUUUCCGCUUUUGUAUAUUGAAAAUAGCUUCUGAAAUAAUAGAUUAUGUUGUAUAGAUUACAGCAGAAUCAGUUUGUAAAAAUCAUCGACGCAGUAUUUUUGAUUGCUAACGUAAAAUUACAAAUUAUAUAUAACGAAGGAAAGUUUACUAAUUGUUAUAUAUGUAUUAAUCACUCUACAUCGUUAAAUACAGUUUUUCAUAUAGGAUAGUGACAACUAUUCUAAAAUAUUUCCAAUCUUUUUAGAACUUUUUACCUGGUUUAAACAUAUGAAAGUCACAUUGGAUCUAAAUGAUUCUAGCAUGUCAUUUAAUACUCUAAAAAAAGAGUAUGCUAUUGCAGAGUUAGCUGGAGACUCAUCUUUCUUCAAAAAAGAAAUAUAUGUCGUGUCAUUUGCAGAAGAUCGUAAACAUUCCACGAACAUUUCUUCAGCAAUGAUAUUGAAAUACGCUUUGCGGAGGUAAUUGUUUUUACGUUUUUUGCACAACGAUACUUUCGACUAGAAGCAAUCGAUUUGAAUGGUCGUUAAAUGUGGGAGCAGAGGAAACGAGUGCCGGGUACAGAUGGUACUACGUAGUACCGCGAGUACAGUGAAAGUAAAAUUAAGGAGAGAAGAACGAAACUACGAAUCAUAAAAACAUCAUUCACUUUCGAUCUGAUUUUUUCGGACUAUCUGAUCGAUAAACAGAAACCAUUCGCUAAUAAAUAUUGCGAUUGCGUCACGAUCUAAAUGAUAAAUAUACAUGAGUUUUCCAUUAAAAUUUUAAAUCGGCAUAUAAAGUAGCUUUUUAGCUCUAUUCUAAUGUGACACGGUAUACGGCAAGUAUAAAAUUAAUUAUAUUUACAGAUCUUUAAGACAAUAUGAUGCACGUUUCGAUCAUUGAAGGACACUAGGGUAGUCGACUGACUAGUCAGUCAAUGUCCACCAACUGUACGCGUAUCAGCGAAACCAGUUUUGGCUGGCAUAAUGGUCCAAAAACAGGAACGGUAACGAGUUCCAACGUUUUUCCCCAUAGUUCGUACAUACAUAUAGCGAUCCCUUUCCGUAGCCGUAGCGCAUCGUCGUUUCGAGGUUGUUCCAUUUGGAACGCUUUGCCGACUGUUUAAGCACGGUAAAAACGUUUUUCGAAUGUCAUUUUUCAUCUUGAGUCGUUCCUUACUUUUCAUGAGUCAUUUUAAUUAAAUUGUAGUGUUCAAUGAAUGCAUAUUUUUGUGUUAUCACCAUUAUUUGAAUAAUCUAAUAAUUUACUCGAAUGUGAACAGCCUACUAAUCAUUCAUGUAUAAAUGUGAGGAGCGAUAGGUGAUAGGUAUCUGUAAUUAUGCUAAUUACAAAGGAAGAUAAACAAGGAUAAAUAUAGCACUUAUCUCAUUAUAAACGAUGUAGGUAUCGGAAUCCUCACUUCACUUAUUUCGUUGCACAUUUCAAUUGCCUUUUUGUAAAAGUUGCAGUAUUUUUUUAAUUUAUCGAAUAAUUAGGUUCUAUCUAAUGAGUAUAUGUAUAACUAUACUCAUAAUAUGUACUGUGUAUAUUUUAUGAUUAAUUUAUACAAUUUAUCGUCGUGUAUAAUUAAUUUAUACUGUCCGUAAAAGUACUUAAUGCGUGAAUGUACUAAUAACACAAUCAGAUUUGUGUAACUUAAAAAAUUAAUAAUUUUAAACAAUUAUUUUGAAUUACCUAUACGAGUAUUAUGAAGUGGAAGUAUUGCUUGCUGACCUUGGUCAAUUAAUCGACCCAAAAUAGAUUACAGCCUUAAAUGAAAAUUGUCAUAAAGGAAUGCAAAUACGAUCUUUCUGUGUAAUUUAACGAUAUUGAACAUAAUUGAACACGUUUCUAUUUGAACUAUUCAAGGUUUGUCACACUUCUACCAUCCGUUUCAAUGAAAAUCGUACUGGCCUGUUAUUGAGCUUUGUUGAACUGUUUCAUCAGCUGGGCAGCUAUUACAAGAUGCUUCGCGAUACAUAAUUAAGAUAACCGAUCAGACAGACAACUUUCAGCAACUAUAAAUGAUCGAAUGAUGAUCAAUGAUGUGCUUUCUCAUACCUGCUACAUUGUUAAACUGAACUGCCAGGAGAUUAUUGAAAUGUUGACAUCAAGAAUAAAAGCGUAUUAAUAAAACAUACUUCGUUACUUGAAUGGAAAAGAAACAAUGUUGCUUUUUAACAAGAUUUUCAAGUUCUAUACAUUAGAUCCUGACAGAUCCUAAAGAUAAAGUUGAAAUAUGAUAAUAUAAUGUCAAUGGUAGUGACGUAGCGAAUUCUCUAAGGCGAAAUUAGACAGUGAAUAUUAAUCAAUUUGGUCAUCAAAAACAUUUCUGACAGCGAGAAGCAACUGUUUCACCAUAACCAUUUUACGAUAAUUUUUUUUAAUACGUAAUAUAGCAAUAAUUACAUUAAACUUCAAUCUUUGUUAUUAUCUUAUGAAUAAAAAUGAAAAGACAACACACUUUGGAAUACAAACUACACUGUCAAAAAUCAAUUCUAAAUGAAACUCACACGCAAAACUUUGGAACAAAAUAAUCGAUAAAAAAUGGUCACGAGCAAGAAAUCAUAGAACAUCUUUAAACUUCAUCAAAAAACAGCAAACUAUUUCAUAGAACAAAGUCCAUCUGGAUUAAUCCAUGAUGGAAGGAACCACAGAAUGAACCUCAUGAAUUGAACACUUUGAUCAAAAGGAUGAAUGGAUCAUCUACUUAGUAUAUUAUUAUAAAUAAUCAAUUGUUAUAUAAACUUACUAAUGUUUAUUAUACAUAUGUAUAAUAUUCUGGAUAAUUAGUAAACAGUUUUCACAGGUAAACAGACUACCAAACUUCAAACACUACGGAGGACGGUGUAAAUGGCACUUGUAAGAGUUGCGGCGAAUCGCAACGCACUGAGUCGGACGAGUGAAUGAAGAACAGUAAGUAUUGCACGGGAGAGAGUAAGCAGAGGCAGCGGAGGAAACUUUCAUACCUGUCUAUCGGGAUUCCCUGGUGUGUGCGUACGCGUCCCACCUUUAUCCGGGGAUUCCUGGCUACGGGUUAAGUCGUCGAUUCACCCCGGGUCACGUGUGUUGCAUUCAUAAAUAGCCUGUUGCACGUUCAGUAUCUAGUUAAUGACCAUGCCAAGAUCAAAGGGGGAAAAUGUUGAUAGGUCAAGAUAAAAACCACCCUGAAUGAGUCCACUUGACUCUUUAUACCGAGUCACUCGUGGCAUAAAUUAUCUAAUGCAAAAUGCAAAUUAUUAUGUACUAUUCUUCUUACGACAAGAAUUUUCUUUCAAGUUUUACAGUCAUACAUACAUAUGCAUAAAAGGGAAAUAUAGGAUAAACAAAAUGCUGCUGACGAUCUGAUAUGACGAGAAGCUGAAGGAAUAACGAAAAAUACCCUUUCUAGUUUUUAUUUUUCUUUUAGGAAAAUGAUAGAAUAUCCUGUUAUCGAUAGAUUUGAAUUUAUUGAAUAAAUUAAUGGACACAAUAUGUGAACUGCUGUCUAAAAAGGUAAUGAUUAUAAUAUCUUGAUAAAAUAACAAUCUCGCUAGUAGAAAGACAAAAAUAGUCCUAUUGAAGUUGUUUUUUUUCUUCUUCAUUGAUUAUAACGUAAUUUUUGAUCCAAACUCCUAAAUGUUGAACUCUAUUCAAGUAAUCUAUAAAUAUGAUGAGGUUCAUUUUUGCUAUGAGCUCUUUGAUUUAAACGUUGUAAGAGUUUUGAAAUCUUCAAAAAUAAAGACUCCCUUAAUAAUAGAAAUAAAAGUUCCAUCGAAAGAGAUGAAAUAUUUUAAUUGCAUUUUAAUGUGGGAAAGUACCGCAAUCUUAUUGACCGUUAUCUUAUUUCGCUGUAUCAACUUACAGUUUUGAAAUCAGUGAUUGAUUAUAUCGCCGCUCAUGUUGUAAAAUUUAUUCUAAUUGCUUAGAAACAAAUCGAUGCAAUAAUCAUACAAAAAUGUCAACAAUUUCUCAUAACUCAUCUAACUUGCGUUCGUUUACAGUUAGAAAAUUCUUUUAUCUAUUAAAUAUUCUAAGAAGUACUAAACUUUGAAUAUUUCGUAUAUAUUUGCAUAUUGUUUGCAGUUUGCGAAUAUUUACAUCUUCAAUUAUGCUAUAAAUGCAUAAACGUUCGCAGUCUCAUUAUUACCUACGUAAUAUCAUUAAAAGCUACAGCUGUGCCAAUGAAUUGCUUAUACGGCAUCAAAUUUGUUUUCAUGUCAUUCGUUCUCUGUUUCCCUUCUAUUGCGUAUCUUCUUUUAUGCUGUUAAUUAUAUAAUCUUCCAAGGUGAAUACCAAUCAGCUGCUGUAGCUUGGUUCUUACCGAUUCGUCCUUCCUCUUCUCGAUAAAUCUUACAUCACACUUAUUUGCGAGAAAAAUCCUAUUUGAUAAGAGCGUACGUGUGGUCGAAGUAAUCGAUUCGUUUCGUGUAUAUUGUUAUAUUCACAGAUUGAAUUAUAAAUAUAUUGAAAAGAAAACUUUGCAAUAUAGGUAAAAGAUAAGGAUUUGUACUGAAUAUUAAGUGGUCAAGUAUUUGUGUAAUUUUUUAAAGGUAACAUUUUUGGAACCCGAACUGACCAACGUAGUAUAAGCCAUAUGUUAACCAAAAAGGGGUGAGUGAACUAGGGGAGAAAGUGCGAUUUCCGAGUUUGUACAGAAAAAAUGUGAGAACAGUAUGCAAAAAAGAAUGUAUAGAUAACUUGGCUCGUGUACAAUUAUUAUUUCAAUAUAUUAAACACAUUUAUACUUUUUCUUUUACAAUUUUACGCUUGAUUAAUCUCAUCAGGUUAUGAGCCUAGAGUACGUGUAAAAGAGAUAGAAAUAAAAGAGAAGACUAAAGAAUUGCCUUAACGGACAAUCGGGAGAGUAAUUACGUAUAACAAAACGAUAAAAGAUCAGAGUUUCAAAAAGAGUAUUUCAAAAUAGAACAUGGAUUCAGCACAGUAUUUUCCUCAGUUGUACACAGAGAAUUUCAAUAACUGGAAAUUCCGAGUUAAAUGCCUGUUGACUGAAAGACAGAUAGAUAAUAUGCUAUGCGUUAAAAUUCCGUCAUUCGCGAGGGAUAAAUAUAGAAGGAGUUUUAUAUUAAAAGACGCGAAAGCCAAGUCAAUAGUGGUGCAGUGUAUUACGGACAAUCAUCUAUAUCUAGUGAAAGAUGCAUCCACUGCAAAAAAAAGAUUUUGCAAAAUAUGUUUGAGAGAAAAAGCACGUUUUCAAAGUUGCAUUUAAAGAGGAAGCUAUUUUCAUUGAAGUAUGGACAAAAUGAAAGAUUUUUUCUCAAAAUUUAACAUCAUCAUAAAGGAGAUGGAAAAUGAGAAAUCCAAAAUAGAUGAAUCCGAUAAAAUUUGUCAUCUACUGUAGAUAAUGCUUGAAGACUAUAAUGCUAUGAUAACUGCUAUCACGACAAUGAAUGAUAAAGAAGACACUUUAAACUUUAUCAAAAGUAGACUGCUUAAUGAGGAGCUAAAAGUGAUGAGCAAGAUGUUGAAUGAUAAAAGCAAUAAUGGCCAGGUAAUGUUCAAAGUCUUUCCAUUUGCUUACUUGGUGAAUGUGGUAGAAUAGGUUACAAAAUAAGUGAAUGUAGAGCAAAAGAGAGACCAAAUACCAGCAGAAAUUUGUAUAGGGGUUGAGGCUCCUUCAGAGAUAGGGGUUAUCGACCAAGGAGAUCAGAGACAGCUAAUCAAUCUAUUAAGGACAAAGCAGUAUAGUCAGUCGCAAUGAGAGUAAAUUUACAGAGUUUAUACUGGAUUCAAUUGCAAUUGCAUAUUUAAUAAAGACAAAUAUGGAAAAAUAUAUAAGCAAUAUAGAAAUGUUACAGGAAGAGAUAAAAAUCCAUAUAGCUAGUGGAAAGAAGAUAAAGGCUACAAAGAAAGGUGACUUUGUUGGAAUGAUUAGAGCAUAACCUUUUGUCACUAAGGAAACUAGUCCAAAUAAUUAUAAGGUGAUAUUUGACAUGGAAGAUGUAGAAAUUGUGGGAAAAAACCAUGUUAUUUUGCAAAAGGGGAAAUAACCUAUAUAUCUUGAAAUUAAGGCCUAAAAAAGAUGAGGUUUGUGUAAGUUUGGAAGCAAGUCAGACCUAAAAAGCUGAACUGUGACACAGAAGAGUAGGCCAUUUGGAUAAAAAAGCUAUGAGAAUUCUAGGACUACUAAUAAACAGUAACAGGUGGUCCACGUGUGUGAAAGGCAAAGCUGCAAGACCCAUUUUUUAUGAAAGAAAGAAACAAUCUCAAAAAAUAGGAGAUUUGAUACACUCCAAUCCACCAGGGUCAGUAACUCCAUGUACUCCAGGUAGACAUAGGUAUUUUCAAGUUGUGAUAGAUGACUACACCUACUUUGCAAUAAUGUAUCUAUUAAACAAAAGGAUGAAGCUGAAGAAAAUUUUUAAAAUUAGAUAGCAGAAAUGAAAACCCAACGAGAAAUAGUAGUAAAAAGUAUAAGACUAGAUAAUGGUAGAGAAUUCACGUCAGGUUCUUUCAAAAACUAUUGCAAAUCACGAGUAAUAAGGAUUCGGUAUAUGUGUCCAUACACACCCCAGCAAAAUAGCAAGUCUAUAAUAGAACUAGGAUCAAGUUCAUCUAGAGGAAGUUAUCAAAGACCCUAUGGGGAGAAGCAAUUAGAUGUUCAGCUUAUAAACUAAAUAGAAGCCUAAUAAAUGUCAAUGAGAAUUUGAUAUAUAAUCGUAUAUAUAUUAUAUGAGAUAUUAAAAGAAUAAUUAAGACUUCUCGUAUCUAAUUAUGAUUUUUCGAGGUACGUAAUGUCACGACUAAUCAGCGAAACAAUCGGAAAAUACUACGUAAUAAAAGAGAUCAUGUCCAUUAUUAUUAUCAGUGUUGACAAAAAACAAUUUACAUUACUACUUAAAUCAAACCUUGUCUAACUCUGAUUUAGUUGUAUAUUAUUACGAAUGAAAAAGUAUAUGACGUGUAAAAUCAUAGAGAUACGAAAAUUCCAAAAAUCAUCUAGAAUAUUUAAAUAAUUGUACUCAUUUAACAAAAAAAAAAAAAAAAAGCAAUUUCCUAUAAUAACUGAUCUAGCAUAGCUUUUAAAAGAAUAUUGCGCAUACGAGAGAAUGAAGCAGUCCGUUUGGAAGUGUAGAACAUCAUUGCGUGUUUAUAAAGACGUCUACAAGAGGAAUUUCCUUAGCGAUUCAAAUCCAGAGAUUCGUCGCGCCGCUGCUCUUUGCAGUUAACUCCGAUUAUCUUUUUCGCAUGCAUAGCUACGCGUGACCUGCAAUUUUGCUAGUUGGGACAAGCAUGGAUCGCUGACACGCAGGAAACGCGAUAUUACUCCGUAUAAAAAAGAAGAGAAUAAGUAAAGGAAAAUGUAUGUGUGGCGUUUCAUCGUAACCAAUUAUCAGACAUGGUCUUCUCUAAUCUCCAUUUUUAUCUCACAACUUGCAGUUGUUUGUAUGUUGAAUCAUGUUUCACAAAAUAAUACCAUUAUUUAUGAACUUUAUCCUUUAACGUUUCCUUGAGAAUAUCAUCGAAUACGAGGAAACAAAGGAAGAAACAGGAAAAUGGUGGAAAAUAAUUCUAAGAAAAUGUUAUCAUUUAUCAUAAUUAUGGAGAAUAAUCGAAUAAUAUUAAUGUAUGGUUAAAUAGAAGGAAACAAAAAUAAAUAAAAAAGAGAUAAGAUAGUAUAUAUACAUAUAGUAACUAUAAGAGAAUGUUCAUUGGAGAAUGAUUCAAUAUGUUUGGUACCAUUCCUAUGGUAAUUUUUCUUUUAUAUCUUUUAUACUUUUUUGUGGAGUAGUAUUAUAAUCGGAAAUAUUAAGGAACACAUUAGACGGCUAUUGUAAAAAAAAUUUUCAUUUUAAAUCUGACUGGUCGCGUAAUAAGGAAAUUAUCAAUGUAUUAUCCGCAAUUAGAAGAUUCUUUGGAGAUUAUUGGUAAUAAGAGGAAUCCGUCUAUUUAAAUUGUUCUUUGCCCACGCGACAGGUCGUUGUUUCACGCGAUGUAUGAGCCAUUCAGAAGCCACGCUGAUCAACUCUAUAAACUUAAAAAUACAGAAAAGCGACUAUACAAGAUAUAUUACGUUACAUUAUAAAAUUCUAGAAUUUUCUGAUCAGUAAACUGUGGAUUUUUAUGCAUUUAUGCAAAAAUGCACAGAAUAUACAUAAUAUGCAAAGAUAUACAUACGGGAAUAUUAAAAAUAUUUCUUGUAAUGUUUUGGUAGGUAAAGCAAAUUUCUGUCUAUCUUUCUCUCCUCAAAUUAUAUUCAGAAAAAUAUGAAUUUGCCUAGAUAUUACAAACACUGGUUUCUAAAUUCACUUUAGAAUAAACUUGUGGAAGUUAAUCAUUUGUUUCUUAAGAAUUGAACAUUAAUUGUGUACUUAUUUAAUGAAAUUAAGAAAUUGUCGAAAACUCGAGUUGAUCGAUUUAUCCUCUGAGAGGUUCAUGUUUGUACAUAACUGGUGGUAAUAAAUGUUUGACGUGGUUGAUGCAUCUUGCAGCAAAUGGUCAGCAAUUUUCUUCCUAGAGGUCAUCGCACAAGGAAGUGAACGGAAACUCGGUCCUCCAGUGGAACUUGAUAGAAAUUGCGUUUAAAAAGGGGACAGAGAAAGCGGAAGACAGAAUUAUUGCGUGAUCUUACCGCAAAUUCUAUCAAUUUAAGUAAAAUGUAAUUUCUGGAACUAUUUUGGUCGAUAUGUAUAUAAGUAACAGGGUUGAAAUAAUUAAAUUGUGAUACACGACAUCUUUUAAUGUUUUUUAACUAAAUUGUAAUGCGAAUGUAAUUAUUAUUAGAGUGCGGAUAUUGAUGGAAAAUCAUACUUUUAUAAAUAUAAUGAAGAAAUGGGAUCUAUUAUAACCGAAAAUCAUUGAAGACAUUAAUUACACAGCAUAAGAACGAAGGAAUACUGAAUUUAAGGUAAAACUACAUAUUAAGUGUAUGAAGUAUUUAAUACAAUAUUGUAUUCAAGUCCAAUGUUUAAUAAAGAACUACCAUUGGAAAUAAAGACAAGAGAGACUGAAAGAAAAAUAA